RNAcentral lists this long non-coding RNA (217 nucleotides) under Setaria viridis. RNAcentral's name for it is "long non-coding RNA (SVIR_LNC003044)". The record is from RNAcentral. Lineage: Eukaryota; Viridiplantae; Streptophyta; Magnoliopsida; Poales; Poaceae.
UGUGAUCCUCUAUCAUAUGCUGCAACUUUGAUGCUUCCUUCUGAGUUUCGGAAUCUCUAUGUACAUCCCUAAGCACCUGACCGAGGUCAUCAGUAUGGCCAUCUUCUGCAAACUCAUCUUCAUCAGCCUCACCCAUUGUAGUAUCUGCAAAAGCUUGGCCUAUAGCGCAGUUCGGAAUGUUGUCAUCAUCAUCCUCCUCUUCACCGUCUUCCAUUAC